GAACGAGAAAGUGGAGCAAUCCAUGAGUAAAGUGGCGACCGGGUGAGUAACACGUGACUAACCUACCUUCGAGUGGGGGAUAACCUCGGGAAACCGAGGCUAAUACCGCAUAACAUCGCAAGAUCAAAGCAGCAAUGCGCUGGAAGAGGGGGUCGCGGCUGAUUAGCUAGUUGGCGGGGUAACGGCCCACCAAGGCGAAGAUCGGUAGCCGGCCUGAGAGGGCGCACGGCCACACUGGAACUGAAACACGGUCCAGACUCCUACGGGAGGCAGCAGUGGGGAAUUUUGCGCAAUGGGGGAAACCCUGACGCAGCAACGCCGCGUGGAGGAUGAAGGCCUUAGGGUUGUAAAGCUCUUUCGGCGGGGACGAUGAUGACGGUACCCGCAGAAGAAGCCCCGGCUAACUUCGUG
Molecule: ribosomal RNA, 411 nt
Filed under: uncultured bacterium
Lineage: Bacteria
Description: bacterial SSU rRNA
Rfam family: Bacterial small subunit ribosomal RNA
Source: RNAcentral